This 442-nucleotide long non-coding RNA is filed under the name Manihot esculenta (cassava). Its description in RNAcentral is "long non-coding RNA (MESC_LNC009458)". Lineage: Eukaryota; Viridiplantae; Streptophyta; Magnoliopsida; Malpighiales; Euphorbiaceae. The record is from RNAcentral.
CACCUCAGCUGUCCUCUCAUCAGAAUCCUUGAGAACCCUGCGAGUACGAGACAACUCUGCUUCCAGGGAUUUGGUGUGCUCUGCUGCCUCAGCCGCUCUGUCUUCAGCUCUUUUAAGGGCCUCCAACGCAGAGUGCAACUCCACCUGGAGGGACUGGGAAUGUUCCCGGGCAGCUAGAAGAUUGCCUCUGGCGUCAUUGGUGGCAGAUAUAUUCUCCUCCAGGCGCGCCUCUUCAAUCCGGCGAUCCACGGACUCCCGGAGGGAGUGGUCGCGAGCGUCCACCUCCAUAAAAAGACCCGUCACCUAGUAGGGGAGAACAACCGUCAAAAGAAAGAAAUAAAGAAGACCAAAAGAGAGAGAAAAAUAAUUUACCAUCAAAAGCAUCUCCCUAAUUGUAUUCCCGAGCUCUUCACGAGAUCGGGAUCGGAAGGACGCUUGCUCC